Myodes glareolus (Bank vole) is the source of this 1748-nucleotide long non-coding RNA. RefSeq lists it as uncharacterized. The record is from RefSeq and is a predicted model, not a curated record. Lineage: Eukaryota; Metazoa; Chordata; Mammalia; Rodentia; Cricetidae.
CCCAGCCUCGAGUAGCGGCUCGGCUUCUGUGGGAUGUGGGUAAGCGCUAAAGUCUACCUCGGGCUACCUGGUAAGAGGCUCGGAAGGGACGACCCCAACGUCCUCGCUGCCUGGCUGCUGCGCACUCGGACCUGUCCUGAAAGAGUAGGGACAUCCCACCCUGGACAAGAACCAGUCACCGCCCACCUGGACGGCCACGCAGGCGCACCUGCUUCAUCAGGACCCCUCGCCCAGCCUGGGAGCCGCUGCGCGUGGGGUCCCGCCCACCACCCGCUGCCUUACCCUGGUGCAUCUGAGAAAGCUGCAGACACCAACGGGCUUGCUGCAGUUCCCCUAUGGCGCGAUCCCCUCACCCUCCGAGUGUACGCCCUCGCCCAAUGACGUCACCUGCUCCUGCACCGUCCAGCAGGGACCCAGGAACUCUAAGCAAGCAGCAAGUGCUACCCUUUCCUCUUGCUUUCUUUUGCUCCAGGCAUCAGACAUUCUGAAAUCAAGGUGCUGACUGUGCAUCUAGAGGGGAACCAUGUGGCUGUGCGGAGCUCGACUCAAGGAACCACCCGUUCCUCAGGGCUCUUCCACCCCAUCUAUCGAGACAGAGGCUCGCCUGAACCUCAUCCAAGCUGCAGACUGAACUUGGAAUGAGACACUGGCCUAAAUUUAACCCCAAGAAAACAAGCUCCCAAGCGUUUGCACCAGGGUGGGGUGGCGCUGUUCUAGGACACCACCGGCCGAAGAGAGCACAGGAGAGCUGUGGCCUGCGUGACCUCGCUCUGCCUGCUGGUUAGUUUUAGUUUUUAGCUUGACACAGAUGGGUGAGAGGGUGCUAGAACACUGCUUCUUAAACUGUGGAGUUUGAAUGUGGUGUUGUAAAGAAUUUGGCAAGAAUAAAAGGUUUCUGAACACACAAUAGGAAAUGAAUUAAAAACUUAGACCUAUCCAGAACCCGAGGUAGUUUCUGGUGAUAGACUUUACCACAACCUCGGUUCUGGGCACAAGGCACGGCACACUCUGUGUCAUGCGUGCAAUGACCAUGCAUCGCCAAAGAACCCCCGGAGCACCGCUGCUCGGGCUGAGUCUGUCUCUGUGAACCGCGAUGCUGACAGGAACAGACUUCUGUGUUUUCCUGUGACCUCAGCAUGCAGGUGUCAAGCUGGUGUGCUAGUGCAUCCUACUGGGUUAGAACACUUGAGUUCAAAACAUCGUUGUCUGAAUUAGUGACUUGAGUUUCAUUAAAAAUUGUUUAAUGAAUUUUGGCUUUGGAUCAGAACAGAAUUUCUAACAAUUCUGUGACCAUAAACAUACUUCUGCCAUUUUGUGUCUACAUUUAUUUAAAACUUUAUUCACAGCAUUGAUCCCUACAGAUCACAAUAUGUUGAGCUGGGUGUGAUGGUGGGAUGGUGAGUCCUGUGGGAACUGAGGUAGGAGGGUGGCUGACAGGUUCAAGGCCAGCAUGGACUACAGCAUGAACUCUGCCUCAGAAAAAAACAAACAAACAGAAAACAAAGCAGCAAUGAAACCGACCAAGCAGCAAUGACCGAGGGGCUUGGGAUGCAGCUCAGAUGCUGGCGUGCUUGUCCACUCUGUGCCAAAUCUGCUCUGCUCAAAACUGGCCGUGGUGGCACUUUUGCCAUCCCACCUCUUGGGAGGCAGACGCCAGAGGAGCAGACAUUCAAAAGUUUCCUCAGCUACAGUGAUUUCAGGUUCAUGCUGGACCGCAUGAGCCCUGACUCAAAGCCAAGCCAAACCAA